CCCUUCCCCAGCGCAUCUGGGGCUUUGACACAGAAGUUCACUUUCUGUGGAUCAGGGCCUCUGUUGAGAGAACUCAGGAAACAGUAGCCUCCAAGACUCACAAAGACUUACCAAGUGUUUCCAAAGAUCUAGAAGGAUAAAUGUUGGGUGUGAUGUUGCAAGUCAUUGAAAAUCCACUUUGGAGUUACGGUGUGCUUGAGACUUUCUGCCGAUUCUGUCGAAUGCCCCUUGCUGUGUCUUCAUGGAGCACAAUGGCCUCCUGUCUUGGCCUCCAGCAAGCAGGCCCCUGGCCUCCACCCUGUACUCUGUGUCUCCCUUAAAGGCAUCUACCUGGGAUUUCAUGGCUACCUGGAGCUGUCGGGGGUCCUUCAACCACAAGUCAUCUCCAAAGCACACAAAAGACACUCUUAUCGCUUGGGAGAUUCCAAGGUUUCAGAGGCUGUAUGCCUGAACUGGAGACGAAGACCAAAUAUUUAUGUUUGAUUACAUCACAGCCCUCAUAUUAAUUAUGAGAAGACCUCUUCCUAUUGCAUAGACGAAGAUCAGUGAAAUAAUGAGUUGCAUUUAGGUUCUAGUUCAUGACUGUAUCUUCUCUCUGAAAUGUUUGUGUUGUGCGUAUAACCAUUGUUCACUGCUAUAUCUUACUGUCUGCAUGUGGCAGGUGCUGAACAAAUAUUUAUUGAAUGUGUAAGUAAAUGAACGAAUAUGGUUUUCAUGUAAGCCAUGUGCUGUCGGGCACAAAAUAUUACAGAGUAAUGCCCUGAUCCGCCAUUCCUGGGGAGGGAGAGAAGAUGAUUCUGACGUAAUGACACAGAAAUACAUCCAUUUUCAUCUUACAUCCUAGAAGUAGGUACCUCUUUCCAUGGAACAGUGUUUACAGAAUGCCCUCCAGUGCCACCCAGGAUAAUGGUGCCAGGGCCAGUGGCGCUUCCAGAGAUACUGCAGAGAUCAUCCCAUCAGAGAGCUUUGUUUUCAUUCAUCGUUCCUAUUUCCUAAUAAAAAAGGCAGCCUGGAUUUUGUACAGCAAAGAAUAGCAUUUCAUAAGAUUUGGUUGAUGAGACUCAGAACUUAACUAUCACUCUUCCACUUAAUUGAUUUUUAAAAAAUAUUUUAUUUAUCCAAUUAUGAGAGAGAGAGAGAGCGAGCGUGCACAA
Long non-coding RNA from Ailuropoda melanoleuca (giant panda), 1154 nucleotides. RefSeq lists it as uncharacterized. The record is from RefSeq and is a predicted model, not a curated record. The transcript is spliced from 3 exons. NCBI's taxonomy places the organism in Eukaryota, Metazoa, Chordata, Mammalia, Carnivora, Ursidae.